AUGACCUUGAGGUUAAGAAUCAGGCCCUACUCGGUAAAAUGGUGGUUUAAAUUACUGAGGGAAGAUGGUGUAUGGCAAACCCUCCUCAGGCGGAAAUAUGUGGGCUCCAAGGCGGUAUCGCAAGUACACUAGAAGCCUGGGGAUUCUCACUUUUGGGCUGGUCUAAUGGCUACGAAAAAAUAUUUCUUCUGCUAUGAGUGUUUCUCGAUUAAGGACAACUCGAAAAUUAGAAUCUGGGAGGAUAAGUGGCUAGGAAAUGCCACUCUUCGGGAACAAUAUCAGGCUCUACACAAUAUUGUGCGUCACAAGGGUGAUACUAUCGCCACGGUAAUGGAAUCAUUUCCGCCAAAUGUGAGGUUCAGAAAGGAUUUAAUUGGACCCAGACUACAAUCGUGGAACAUCCUGCUUCAGCUGUUAUCCAUGGUGCAAUUGUCACAUGUGUCCGUUGUAUUCCGAUGGAACCUACAUGAGAAUGGACAAUUCUCAGUGAAGUUUGUGUAUAGAGCGUUAGUUCAGUCUGAUGUGUAUCAGUUGAUAAUAAUAACAAGAUCUGGAGGAUGA
RNAcentral lists this ribosomal RNA (561 nucleotides) under Triticum aestivum (bread wheat). RNAcentral describes it as "partial small subunit ribosomal RNA". The record is from RNAcentral. Lineage: Eukaryota; Viridiplantae; Streptophyta; Magnoliopsida; Poales; Poaceae.